Molecule: ribosomal RNA, 465 nt
Filed under: uncultured bacterium
Lineage: Bacteria
Description: partial 16S ribosomal RNA
Rfam family: Bacterial small subunit ribosomal RNA
Source: RNAcentral
GACGAACGCUGGCGGCGUGCUUAACACAUGCAAGUCGUACGGUAAGGCCCUUUCGGGGGUACACGCGUGGCGAACGGGCGAGUAACACGUGCGUAACCUGCCCACAACUUUGGGAGAACGCACGUCAACUGGCUCUAAUACUUGAUAGGUGGUCCCUCCUCAUGCAUGGGGUUGGAAAGAUCCUGGGGUUGUGGAGGGACUGGCGGCCUAUCAGGUUGUUGGUGGGGUAGUUGCCUACCAACGAGGCUGCGGGUAGGCGGCCUGGGGGGGUGAGCGGCCAAAAUGGGGAUGGGGUACGGCCCAGGCCUCUACGGGGGGGAAGAGGGGGGAAAUUUGGACAAAGGGGGCAAGCCCGAAGGAGCAACGGCGCGGGGGGGAAGACGGCCUUCGGGUUGUAAACCGGUUUCAGCAGGGACGAAGCUUUUUGUGACGGUACCUGGAGAAGAAGCACCGGCUAACUACGUG